This 467-nucleotide ribosomal RNA is filed under the name uncultured bacterium. Its description in RNAcentral is "partial 16S ribosomal RNA". It matches the Rfam family "Bacterial small subunit ribosomal RNA", at positions 28 to 506 of the family's 1533-position model. The record is from RNAcentral.
GACGAACGCUGGCGGCGUGCUUAACACAUGCAAGUCGAACGGAAAGGCCCUGCUUUUGUGGGGUGCUCGAGUGGCGAACGGGUGAGUAACACGUGAGUAACCUGCCCUUGACUUUGGGAUAACUUCAGGAAACUGGGGCUAAUACCGGAUAGGAGCUCCUGCUGCAUGGUGGGGGUUGGAAAGUUUCGGCGGUUGGGGAUGGACUCGCGGCUUAUCAGCUUGUUGGUGGGGUAGUGGCUUACCAAGGCUUUGACGGGUAGCCGGCCUGAGAGGGUGGCCGGCCACAUGGGGACUGAGAUACGGCCCAGACUCCUACGGGAGGCAGCAGUGGGGAAUAUUGCACAAUGGGCGGAAGCCGGAUGCAGCAACGCCGCGUGCGGGAUGACGGCCUUCGGGUUGUAAACCGCUUUCGCCUGUGACGAAGCGUGAGUGACGGGAAUGGGUAAAGAAGCACCGGCUAACUACGU